RNAcentral lists this unclassified non-coding RNA (261 nucleotides) under Hevea brasiliensis (rubber tree). The record is from RNAcentral. Lineage: Eukaryota; Viridiplantae; Streptophyta; Magnoliopsida; Malpighiales; Euphorbiaceae.
AGAAGAGCUAAACCACAAAUGAAAAGAAAACAAAAGAGCCGCAGCCAGCAAACAAUACAUCGUGGGAGAGCCCCAAAGUCUCCAGCACAGGAGAGACCAACCUUUGCCACGGAGUCAGCAGCUCCAGUAGCAUCUCUGAGAACAUGGGUGAUCUUGACCAGUGGCAGAGCUUAUGAACAGCGGGCGAUGGAUUUGGAGAUUGCAGCGAGACACCAGGGAACAGAGUCUAAAUGCAGCGGGCCAUAGUUUUUUUUUUUUUUU